AUACGGAGGGUGCAAGCGUUACUCGGAAUCACUGGGCGUAAAGCGCGCGCAGGCGGCUAUUUAAGUUGGAUGUGAAAGCCUACGGCUCAACCGUAGAACUGCAUCCAAAACUAUUUAGCUAGAGUGUGGGAGAGGAAGAUGGAAUUAGUUGUGUAGGGGUAAAAUCCGUAGAGAUAACUAGGAAUACCAAAAGCGAAGGCAAUCUUCUGGAACGCUACUGACGCUGAGGCGCGAAAGCGUGGGGAGCAAACGGGAUUAGAAACCCUUGUAGUCC
This 274-nucleotide ribosomal RNA is filed under the name uncultured bacterium. RNAcentral describes it as "partial 16S ribosomal RNA". It matches the Rfam family "Bacterial small subunit ribosomal RNA", at positions 523 to 796 of the family's 1533-position model. The record is from RNAcentral.